AGCAAAAGAUAGCAGUGAGUGUGCCAAUGCACUGUGACAAAUGCCGAACCAAGGCCUUGAAGAUUGCUGCAGCUGCACACGGUAGGCAUCGAUCAAUCAAUACAUACAGAUCAAUUUAUCAAAAAAAAGAAAGAAAAGAAAUUCAAGUUUCAUCACCAAUAAUUAGGUCAGUUAAUAAGUAUUAAUUGAUGAUUACAUAUAAAGCAGGUGUGAGCAAAGUGUCGAUCGAAGCAGACAAAGGUCAUAUGGAGGUGAUUGGAGAUGGGGUUGACUCUGUUUGCUUGACCAGUUUGUUAAGGAAGAAGCUUGGCUUCGCCACCAUUGUCAAAGUUGAAGAAGUGAAAGGAGCUAAAGAUGAUAAGAAAGAGGAAAAGGCAACGCCUCCCCCAGGCUGUGUUCAAUAUUGUCCUCCAAUGUACUAUGAACUGGUUGAUGAAUAUCCAGAACCAGUCCAAUGCUCUAUUAUGUAA
This 470-nucleotide long non-coding RNA is filed under the name Prunus dulcis (almond). RNAcentral's name for it is "sRNA ncRNA". The record is from RNAcentral. Lineage: Eukaryota; Viridiplantae; Streptophyta; Magnoliopsida; Rosales; Rosaceae.